RNAcentral lists this transfer RNA (69 nucleotides) under Rattus norvegicus (Norway rat). It matches the Rfam family "tRNA". Rfam says of the family: Transfer RNA (tRNA) molecules are approximately 80 nucleotides in length. Their secondary structure includes four short double-helical elements and three loops (D, anti-codon, and T loops). Lineage: Eukaryota; Metazoa; Chordata; Mammalia; Rodentia; Muridae. The record is from Rfam by way of RNAcentral.
GGGGAUUUAGCUCAGCAGUAGAGCACUUGCCUAGCAAGCGCAAGGCCCUGGGUUCGAUCCCCAGCUCCG